GCCCAGUUAGCUCAAUCGGUAGAGUGUGAGACUCUUAACCUCAAGGUUAGGGGUAAGUUUAGCACACGAAUGUGUUAAUCAAAAUGCUAAUAGUCUGAUGAAAGUUCAACCCUCGUAUUGGGCU
Xylariaceae sp. AK1471 is the source of this 124-nucleotide non-coding RNA. NCBI's taxonomy places the organism in Eukaryota, Fungi, Ascomycota, Sordariomycetes, Xylariales, Xylariaceae. The record is from the annotation of a GenBank genome assembly.